This 572-nucleotide ribosomal RNA is filed under the name uncultured Pseudomonadota bacterium. Its description in RNAcentral is "bacterial SSU rRNA". It matches the Rfam family "Bacterial small subunit ribosomal RNA", at positions 28 to 587 of the family's 1533-position model. The record is from RNAcentral. Lineage: Bacteria; Pseudomonadati; Pseudomonadota.
AGUGAACGCUGGCGGUAGGCCUAACACAUGCAAGUCGAACGGCAGCACAGUAAGAGCUUGCUCUUAUGGGUGGCGAGUGGCGGACGGGUGAGGAAUACAUCGGAAUCUACUCUGUCGUGGGGGAUAACGUAGGGAAACUUACGCUAAUACCGCAUACGACCUACGGGUGAAAGCAGGGGAUCUUCGGACCUUGCGCGAUUGAAUGAGCCGAUGUCGGAUUAGCUAGUUGGCGGGGUAAAGGCCCACCAAGGCGACGAUCCGUAGCUGGUCUGAGAGGAUGAUCAGCCACACUGGAACUGAGACACGGUCCAGACUCCUACGGGAGGCAGCAGUGGGGAAUAUUGGACAAUGGGCGCAAGCCUGAUCCAGCCAUACCGCGUGGGUGAAGAAGGCCUUCGGGUUGUAAAGCCCUUUUGUUGGGAAAGAAAUCCAGCCGGCUAAUACCUGGUUGGGAUGACGGUACCCAAAGAAUAAGCACCGGCUAACUUCGUGCCAGCAGCCGCGGUAAUACGAAGGGUGCAAGCGUUACUCGGAAUUACUGGGCGUAAAGCGUGCGUAGGUGGUCGUUUAAG